GUGACCUGAGCCAAAACCAAGAGUCACAGGCUUAACUGACUUAGCCGCCCAAGUGCCCCAGGAUAUGAAAGCUUCUUAGAAGUCACAUCACUCUAAGUUUCUGAGGAGGAAGUGGACUUAGGUAAAACAAAACAGAGUCCAAGGCCAUCAGCUCAGAAACAGUGAUCUAUACAAAUACCUCCCAAUCAUCUCCUAACAUUCCCAAAAUUUAUGAUUCUAUGAUACCUACCUCUUCCAGGCAAGAACAGAAUGGAAUGAAAGAAUCACAAGGCAAAGAUUAAGUAUGGUCAACUCUUCAUCAACCACUAGGACAUUUUCUGGUACCUCAGAAGAGUUCCUCUGCUUCCUGGCUGAAUGCCCCAUAAUGCAUCUUAAGUCUUCACUCCUGAAGACCAUGAAUGGAAUGGAGUAUGUCUGAGAUUCUCAAAAUGUGGCCUUGUUAUCUGAGACUGUAAUACCUGAUAAUGCUCUAUAGGACAGCCAGCCUCAAUGGGAGACUUUCUAUUCUAACCUUGAUAGGAAGAAGUAAAAAAAAAAAACAACAAAAAAACACAACCAAAAAACCCUGUUUUUCUUCACAGCACUCAGUAUAUCCUCCGAUACUUAUACCCAAAUUUCCUUACAAAGGAAAUCUUCAAGGAAAAAAUAAAAAG
Molecule: long non-coding RNA, 653 nt
Organism: Hyaena hyaena (striped hyena)
Lineage: Eukaryota; Metazoa; Chordata; Mammalia; Carnivora; Hyaenidae
Exons: 3
Source: RefSeq, a predicted model, not a curated record